GACGAACGCUGGCGGCGUGCUUAACACAUGCAAGUCGAACGGAAAGGCCCUGCUUGCAGGGUACUCGAGUGGCGAACGGGUGAGUAACACGUGGGUGAUCUGCCCUGCACUUCGGGAUAAGCCUGGGAAACUGGGUCUAAUACCGGAUAUGACCUUCCAUGUAGUGUGGGGGGUGGAAAGAUUUAUCGGUGUGGGAUGAGCCCGCGGCCUAUCAGCUUGUUGGUGGGGUAAUGGCCUACCAAGGCGUCGACGGUAGCCGGCCUGAGAGGGUGGACGGCCACAUUGGGACUGAGAUACGGCCCAGACUCCUACGGGAGGCAGCAGUGGGGAAUAUUGCACAAUGGGCGGAAGCCUUAUGCAGCGACGCCGCGUGGGGGAUGACGGCCUUCGGGUUGUAAACCUCUUUCGACAGGGACGAAGCUUCGGUGACGGUACCUGUAUAAGAAGCACCGGCUAACUACGUG
This 464-nucleotide ribosomal RNA is filed under the name uncultured bacterium. RNAcentral describes it as "partial 16S ribosomal RNA". It matches the Rfam family "Bacterial small subunit ribosomal RNA", at positions 28 to 507 of the family's 1533-position model. The record is from RNAcentral.